Molecule: ribosomal RNA, 1550 nt
Filed under: Klebsiella variicola
Lineage: Bacteria; Pseudomonadati; Pseudomonadota; Gammaproteobacteria; Enterobacterales; Enterobacteriaceae
Description: bacterial SSU rRNA
Rfam family: Bacterial small subunit ribosomal RNA
Source: RNAcentral
AAAUUGAAGAGUUUGAUCAUGGCUCAGAUUGAACGCUGGCGGCAGGCCUAACACAUGCAAGUCGAGCGGUAGCACAGAGAGCUUGCUCUCGGGUGACGAGCGGCGGACGGGUGAGUAAUGUCUGGGAAACUGCCUGAUGGAGGGGGAUAACUACUGGAAACGGUAGCUAAUACCGCAUAACGUCGCAAGACCAAAGUGGGGGACCUUCGGGCCUCAUGCCAUCAGAUGUGCCCAGAUGGGAUUAGCUAGUAGGUGGGGUAACGGCUCACCUAGGCGACGAUCCCUAGCUGGUCUGAGAGGAUGACCAGCCACACUGGAACUGAGACACGGUCCAGACUCCUACGGGAGGCAGCAGUGGGGAAUAUUGCACAAUGGGCGCAAGCCUGAUGCAGCCAUGCCGCGUGUGUGAAGAAGGCCUUCGGGUUGUAAAGCACUUUCAGCGGGGAGGAAGGCGGUGAGGUUAAUAACCUCACCGAUUGACGUUACCCGCAGAAGAAGCACCGGCUAACUCCGUGCCAGCAGCCGCGGUAAUACGGAGGGUGCAAGCGUUAAUCGGAAUUACUGGGCGUAAAGCGCACGCAGGCGGUCUGUCAAGUCGGAUGUGAAAUCCCCGGGCUCAACCUGGGAACUGCAUUCGAAACUGGCAGGCUAGAGUCUUGUAGAGGGGGGUAGAAUUCCAGGUGUAGCGGUGAAAUGCGUAGAGAUCUGGAGGAAUACCGGUGGCGAAGGCGGCCCCCUGGACAAAGACUGACGCUCAGGUGCGAAAGCGUGGGGAGCAAACAGGAUUAGAUACCCUGGUAGUCCACGCUGUAAACGAUGUCGAUUUGGAGGUUGUGCCCUUGAGGCGUGGCUUCCGGAGCUAACGCGUUAAAUCGACCGCCUGGGGAGUACGGCCGCAAGGUUAAAACUCAAAUGAAUUGACGGGGGCCCGCACAAGCGGUGGAGCAUGUGGUUUAAUUCGAUGCAACGCGAAGAACCUUACCUGGUCUUGACAUCCACAGAACUUUCCAGAGAUGGAUUGGUGCCUUCGGGAACUGUGAGACAGGUGCUGCAUGGCUGUCGUCAGCUCGUGUUGUGAAAUGUUGGGUUAAGUCCCGCAACGAGCGCAACCCUUAUCCUUUGUUGCCAGCGGUUAGGCCGGGAACUCAAAGGAGACUGCCAGUGAUAAACUGGAGGAAGGUGGGGAUGACGUCAAGUCAUCAUGGCCCUUACGACCAGGGCUACACACGUGCUACAAUGGCAUAUACAAAGAGAAGCGACCUCGCGAGAGCAAGCGGACCUCAUAAAGUAUGUCGUAGUCCGGAUUGGAGUCUGCAACUCGACUCCAUGAAGUCGGAAUCGCUAGUAAUCGUAGAUCAGAAUGCUACGGUGAAUACGUUCCCGGGCCUUGUACACACCGCCCGUCACACCAUGGGAGUGGGUUGCAAAAGAAGUAGGUAGCUUAACCUUCGGGAGGGCGUUUACCACUUUGUGAUUCAUGACUGGGGUGAAGUCGUAACAAGGUAACCGUAGGGGAACCUGCGGUUGGAUCACCUCCUUACCUUAAAGAA